Molecule: ribosomal RNA, 446 nt
Filed under: uncultured bacterium
Lineage: Bacteria
Description: partial 16S ribosomal RNA
Rfam family: Bacterial small subunit ribosomal RNA
Source: RNAcentral
CCUACGGGUGACAGCAGUCGAGAAUCAUUCACAAUGGGGGAAACCCUGAUGGUGCGACGCCGCGUGGGGGAAUGAAGGUCUUCGGAUUGUAAACCCCUGUCAUGUGGGAGCAAAUUAAAAAGAUAGUACCACAACAGGAAGACACGGCUAACUCUGUGCCAGCAGCCGCGGUAAUACAGAGGGCUCAAGCGUUGUUCGGAAUCACUGGGGGGAAAGCGUGCGAUGGCUGUUUCGUAAGUCGUGUGUGAAAGGCGCGGGCUCAACCCGCGGACGGCACAUGAUACUGGGAGACUAGAGUAAUGGAGGGGGAACCGGAAUGCUAGGUGUAGCAGUGAAAUGCGUAGAUAUCGAGAGGAACACUAGUGGCGAAGGCGGGUUCCUGGACAUUAACUGACGCUGAGGCACGAAGGCCAGGGGAGCGAAAGGGAUUAGAUACCCCUGUAGUC